Molecule: small RNA, 127 nt
Filed under: Marmota monax (woodchuck)
Lineage: Eukaryota; Metazoa; Chordata; Mammalia; Rodentia; Sciuridae
Source: RNAcentral
AUCAGGCAUGGAGGCGCAUGCCUGUAAUUCCAGCAGCUUGGGAGGCUGAGGCAGGAGGAUUGUGAAUUCAAAGCCAGCUUCAGCAAUUUAGGAAGACACUUAGCAACUCAGUGAGACCCUGUCUCUA